AGAGUUUGAUCCUGGCUCAGAUUGAACGCUGGCGGCAUGCCUUACACAUGCAAGUCGAACGGUAACAGGUCUUCGGAUGCUGACGAGUGGCGAACGGGUGAGUAAUACAUCGGAACGUGCCCGAUCGUGGGGGAUAACGGAGCGAAAGCUUUGCUAAUACCGCAUACGAUCUACGGAUGAAAGCAGGGGACCGCAAGGCCUUGCGCGGACGGAGCGGCCGAUGGCAGAUUAGGUAGUUGGUGGGAUAAAAGCUUACCAAGCCGACGAUCUGUAGCUGGUCUGAGAGGACGACCAGCCACACUGGGACUGUGACACGGCCCAGACUCCUACGGGAGGCAGCAGUGGGGAAUUUUGGACAAUGGGCGAAAGCCUGAUCCAGCCAUGCCGCGUGCAGGAUGAAGGCCUUCGGGUUGUAAACUGCUUUUGUACGGAACGAAAAGACUCCUUCUAAUAAAGGGGGUCCAUGACGGUACCGUAAGAAUAAGCACCGGCUAACUACGUGCCAGCAGCCGCGGUAAUACGUAGGGUGCAAGCGUUAAUCGGAAUUACUGGGCGUAAAGCGUGCGCAGGCGGUUACAUAAGACAGAUGUGAAAUCCCCGGGCUCAACCUGGGAACUGCAUUUGUGACUGUAUAGCUAGAGUACGGUAGAGGGGGAUGGAAUUCCGCGUGUAGCAGUGAAAUGCGUAGAUAUGCGGAGGAACACCGAUGGCGAAGGCAAUCCCCUGGACCUGUACUGACGCUCAUGCACGAAAGCGUGGGGAGCAAACAGGAUUAGAUACCCUGGUAGUCCAA
Molecule: ribosomal RNA, 793 nt
Filed under: uncultured bacterium
Lineage: Bacteria
Description: bacterial SSU rRNA
Rfam family: Bacterial small subunit ribosomal RNA
Source: RNAcentral